Molecule: ribosomal RNA, 536 nt
Filed under: uncultured bacterium
Lineage: Bacteria
Description: bacterial SSU rRNA
Rfam family: Bacterial small subunit ribosomal RNA
Source: RNAcentral
AUUGCAGUCGAACGCUGAAGCACGGAAUCUUCGGAUUCUGUGUGGAGGCGUGGAGCACGGGUGGGUAUCGCGUGGAUAACCUGCCCUCGAGUGGGGAAUAACUCCGGGAAACUGGUGCUCGUACCGCAUAAUCUUCCCCCGGCCUGAAUCAGAGGAAGCAAAGACUUCCGUCGCUUGAGGAGGGGUCCGCGUUCGAUCAGCUUGUUGGUGAGGUGACGGCUCACCAAGGCUGAGACCGAUAGCCGGUCUGAGAGGAUGGUCGGCCACACUGGAACUGAGACACGGUCCAGACUCCUACGGGAGGCAGCAGUGAGGAAUCUUGCGCAAUGGGGGAAACCCUGACGCAGCGACUCCGCGUGGAGGAUGAAGGCCCUCGGGUCGUAAACUCCUUUCUACAGGGAAGAAAUGCUCUUCGGAGUUUGACGGUACCUGUAGAAGAAGCCCCGGCUAACUACGUGCCAGGAGCCGCGGUAAUACGUAGGGGGCAAGCGUUGCUCGGAAUUACUGGGCGUAAAGGGUCUGUAGGCGGUUGGGUA